GGGCUCGUGGUCUAGUGGCUUGUUCCGCCAGUUGAUUGCUGUGGAACCCAUCAAUGACAACACGUUUACAUCGUGUAGGUCGGCAGUUCGAAUCUGCCCGGGCCCA
Molecule: transfer RNA, 106 nt
Filed under: Candidatus Iainarchaeum sp.
Lineage: Archaea; Nanobdellati; Candidatus Iainarchaeota; Candidatus Iainarchaeia; Candidatus Iainarchaeales; Candidatus Iainarchaeaceae
Description: tRNA-Val
Source: RNAcentral